This 302-nucleotide ribosomal RNA is filed under the name uncultured bacterium. RNAcentral's name for it is "partial 16S ribosomal RNA". It matches the Rfam family "Bacterial small subunit ribosomal RNA", at positions 508 to 807 of the family's 1533-position model. The record is from RNAcentral.
GCAGUCGCCGCGGGAAUACGAAGGGUGCAAGCGUUACUCGGAAUUACUGGGCGUAAAGCGUGCGUAGGUGGUGGUUUAAGUCCGUUGUGAAAGCCCUGGGCUCAACCUGGGAAUUGCAGUGGAUACUGGGUCACUAGAGUGUGGUAGAGGAUAGUGGAAUUUCCGGUGUAGCAGUGAAAUGCGUAGAGAUCGGAAGGAACAUCUGUGGCGAAGGCGACUAUCUGGGCCAACACUGACACUGAGGCACGAAAGCGUGGGGAGCAAACAGGAUUAGAUACCCCGGUAGUCCCUGUCUCUUAUAC